Molecule: non-coding RNA, 5923 nt
Organism: Rattus norvegicus (Norway rat)
Lineage: Eukaryota; Metazoa; Chordata; Mammalia; Rodentia; Muridae
Source: RefSeq, a predicted model, not a curated record
AGAAGCGCAGGAGAUGGCCGCUCAGAAACAAAAGCCUAAAGAAACUGACUAGAGAUCGCUGAAGGCCGCCAGAGAAGCACAUUCCAGCGCGAAUUCUCAGUGCCUUGGCAUUUCAGUGUGGUUUUCUAUCCAUCCCAGUACAGUGAAAGGGCUUCAGGGAGUUGGAGAGAUGGCUCAGCGGUAAAGAGCACUGACUCUUCUUCCAGAGGUCCUGAGUUCAAUUCCCAGCAACCGCAUGGCGGCUCACAACCAUCUGCAAUGGGGAUCCUCUUCUGGUGAGUCUGAAGAUAGCAACGGUGUACUCACAUAUAUAAAAUAAAUAAAUCUUUAAAAGAAAGAAAGGAAGGAAGGAAGAAAUGGUUUCGUGUUACCCAAGCUAGCCUUGAACUCCUUCUGCUUCUAACUCUCAAAUGUUAAGAUUAGAGGCACGUGUCAUCAUCUCUUGCUUAAUUGAUGAUCUAGGUACAAUAAGAAAUUAACAGCAGCUCAUGAUAGAACAAUUAUAACAGUAUCCAGUAUAGGAGUCAUUUAGAACUAUGACUGUUUGUUCCUGGAAUUCUCCACUCGGUGUUUUGUGGUGUGGCUGACGCAGCGCGUUUGAAAAUGUUGAGACUGAAGUUUUAGAUAAAGGGUAGCUACUGUAUGGAGACUGAGGCCCCUUGCGGAGGGACAGGAGGGUGAGUCAGGGAAAGGAGCAGUAACCCUGUGGUCCUGGCUUCCUUUGCAGUGCAGAACCUUCGGUCGUGCAGCUGGGGUGGAGCCCUGUGGACAGUCUUCUUAGAGUUACUUUAGACAAGCCGCAUAGCCAGACUGUCUCCAGGGCCACCCGUGCAAGUUUGUUCCAGAGGCCAGUUCUUCCUGGAACUGGGUGUCAGCUAGGGACAGAGAAUGCCGGGAGUGAAACUUGGCGGCUGAAGGGAAGAAAAGCUUCCAGUCCCGCAGAUCUCAGAUUGCACGGCUGCGUUGGGCGGGGCUUGCAGUUCAGAAAGAUGCCACCAGGGGACGCCCUUCCCACACCUCACACCUAGAGGGCGCGCGCACGUAUGUAUGUGUGCUCUGCAAAUGGCUUUUCUGUGAUUACAACGUCAUGCUUCAGCUUUCCUAAGUGACCUAUUCGACUCAGUCUUCUGCAGCAGCUUGGGUCUGUCGCACUUCUGAGUUACAAGUGCCUCUAGUUACGCAACCAUAACAACCCUUGACAAUGUGCUGGGGAGGAGGGGUAACUUUUCAAAUGCCAUUUGACUGUCAUUUGCUGUCAGGGUUCUUCUCAUUUGCUGUCAGGGACUUCUCAUUUGCUGUCAGGGGUCACAGUAUAGAGGUUGAAGAGGAUCCAGCAGAGGGACGAGAGGGGUGCGGGUGCUGACUCAUGAGCCCCAGCUUCUAGAUGAAUUCCACCACUCUCCAGAAGCUACCAUCGUGGUAUUAAGAGGUCCAAGGCUAGCCGGGCUGUAAGCAGGUGAUCUCUGAGGACAGCCUGAUCUACAAAGCAAGAUCCAGGACAGCCAAGGUUACACAGAGAAACCCUGUCUGGACCUCCCCAAUCUCCCCCUACCCCUCCAUCCCCUAAAAGAUCCAGGGCUACAGAAAAUUCUCCUUACUUCGCCAGGUGUCAUAGAGAACAGGGGGACCUGCCCACCCAGCCCAGGUAAGCAGAGGACAUAAGGGGCAGACAGUAAAGUGAACCCUAAGGUGAACAGCACCCGAGGGCCUAGCCCAGUUUUUGUUUGAAUCGCAUAAAGAAUGUCAUGUAAUACCAUAGUCACCGUGCCUCUAUGCAAAGACCGGUACUGAGAUGACAUGCAGGAUGCUGUGUGGUGUCUGUGAGGGGGACUGCGAGCCUGGAUGGCAGUCAGCACGUGAAUUCUGAGUCAGGGGCUGGAUGGAAGACACAGAGGGUAAGUCUCUGGUCAGCAAGCCAGAGGCAGGAGGCACAACUUACGUUCUGCCAGGCGUUCACCGUCAAUGCAAUAGCUUGGCUGUGACCUGGAGACCUGAGGAUCGCGGACGCCCGGGAUCCCUGGGUAGAACCAAUGUCUCUCACCCAGCUACUCUCUUUUCCCUUUGUAAAGAUUUUUAGACUUGGGCUGGAGGCUCAGUGGUUAAGAGCACUAACUGCUCUUCCAGAGGUCCUGAGUUCGAAUCCCAGCAACCACAUGGUGGCUCACAACCAUCUGUAAUGGGAUCUGAUGCCCUCUCCUUGUCUGAAGACAGCUACUCAUAUAUAUAUAAAAUAAAUAAAUCUUUUUAAAAAUUUAAAUUUUGGGGGUUGGGGAUUUAGCUCAGUGGUAGAGCGCUUGCCUAGCAAGCACAAGGCCCUGGGUUCGGUCCCCAGCUCCAAAAAAAAGAAAAGAAAAAAAUUUAAAUUUUAUUUUAUGUAUAUGAGUGUUUUUCUUGAAUGUAUGUGUACCACGUGCGUGCCUGGUGCCCAGGGAAGGAAGGUUUUAGAGGUCUCUGUCAUCAAAAGGAAAAUUAUUGCAGAUAGAGAAUCCUUAAGUUAGCUUUGCUGUUGUUUGACAAGGUCCCAAACUCACUGUACGGUCCCAAACUGAUUUAGAAUCCCAGGCUGGUCUUGAGUUCUCAGUGCAUGGGCUAACUCCAAAGCAGCCCCGAUAGGAAUGGGAAAAUUGAUUAAAACCUGCUUGAGUCGGGUGGCUGAUGCCUUCAAUCCCAGAAUUCAGUGGGCUGAGGCAGGUGGAUCUCUGUGAGUUCCACACCAGUCGUCACACCUGGCCCUGUACAGGUUUUUAGCAGCUGAGCCAUCUCCCAGGUGCCUGGUUUUGCUUUGUUUAAGGAUUAGUCUCAUAUGGUUUAGCAAGGCUUUGAGCUUUGCAUCCCCCUCCCCCCAACCUUAGCCUCCACCUCGGCCUUGUUCUGACAUGCGCACACUUAAGCCCUGUGUUUUGUAUUUUGUUUUAAUACCAGAAAAGGGCAUCAGAUCUCCUGGAGCUCUGGAUAGUUGUGAGCUGUCCCGUGGGUGUCGAGAACUAAACUCAGGUCCUUCAGACCAGCAGCCUGUGCUCUAAGCUGCUCCCACCCCUGCACUUUCAAGAGUACGUGGCCAAGAACUGUCAGUGUCAAAGGCCCGAGGGGAGUGGAACUGGCACCUAACUCCAAAUCCUUUCUGUAGUAGCUGGUGAGGAAUUUUUAACCCCACCCCCCAGACCUCCCGACUCCCGCACUGUCCCCCAUCUCCCCCUACCCCCCUAUCCCUCUCUCCCCGGACCUCGGCCGCCACUUUCUCCCUAUCCCUCUACCAUCCCACGACAUUCAGCAGAGAGCUGAUCACAGCAGCAUAUUGAUUUCCUGUUUGCAAGAGGCCUUCUGGGAAGUGGAGGGAAUUAGACCGCUUCUCGUUUGUGCUUGACAGCUUCCCUGGCGUUGUUGUUUUGUUUUUUGAUACAGAGUCUCAGAAUCUAGUCCCGGCAGGCCUUGACCUCACAGCGAUCCUUCUGGCUGGCUGGUCAAAAAAAAAAGACCCAGGACACAGAAUAGGGUAUAGGAGAAACUGUUCACAGACUCUCAUGCUGUCAAACGGGUACCUUCACGAAGGGUCGCAUGACGCCCGGGAAUGUGGAUCAUGUCUGAAAUCCCAGAACUCUGGAGUUGAGGCAAGAGGAUUGCUGUGAGCUCCAGCCCCCCAUUCCUCCCCCUCUACCCUAUCCCGGGCCACAUAGUAAGACACAGACACGGUCCCAAAAUGAAAGACUGAAAGAAAUUCAAGGUUGCAUAAAGCAGGCAUUAGUUCCUGGCUCUGUCUCCUCCAGGCUCCCCAAGUUCCACUGAGCCGGGCAGCCAUCUUUUCACCGGUCCUCAGCCUGUGUGUGGUCCCCAUCAGCCCCAGGAGUUCUGCCCCAGGCCAAUCCAUUCAGAGCUCAAAUGUUCUUGCUGCCAAAAUCCCAAGGUCUCCUGGUGCCAUGGACUUCCUCUGCUUGUCUACGUGAGGCUAUUUGUAGACUCAGGAGGCCGUGCCCCGACAAGGCUCUUCCAGGCACUCUGUGCCCCAGCAUGGCUCCACCAGGCACUCACUACCUCCCACCUGGCUCUGUGGCGAGCCUCCCCUUAGGUCUUACUGGGCCCGUGAGCUGACCUGAGUUAUGGAACUAGGGUUAUAGUUCCAUGAUCUCUUGGCUUCCCAAACUAAAGACUCUUCCUCUCCAGCUUCCCUCAAAGGCCCCGGGCUCUCCGCAUACCUCAUAGCACAUGAUCCUCACAAGACAUUCCAAGCUCUAUCGACAGAAGCCUGUGUGGAACUUCUGAACUCUGGCCUCCUAGACCAAGGGAGUCCAAAGUUCUUUCUUUUAGCUUGGUAGUGAGGUUGGGCAAAGAAAAGAAAAUCGUAAAUAAACUUCACUCACUUGGCCUCCCACAAGUCUGUGUUCUGAUGUCAGCUGCUGCUGCUGCCGGGCAGCCACUGUUGGUGGCUGUAGCGGUGGCCCGAAGGGGGUGACCUCAGCUCUGAACUGAAGGUUUCACUGUGAAAGGUCUUGAGGGCAUUUUCUUUCUCUCGUUUUUGUCUGAACAAAGUCUCACAUAGGUAGCACAGGCUGACCCUGAAUUGUUCAUCUUCCUGACUCUACUCCUCACGUGCUAUGAUUAUUCCUAUGGCCCACCAUGCUUGACUAGGACAUAAAAAAAAAGGGGGGGGGUUGGUUUUUUUUUUGGUGCCGGGGGACCAAACUCUGGGCCUCGUGCUAAGCAAAUGUUCCUUCAGUUUUACUCCAGGCUACAAGCUGUUGUAACUUCUCUCUUUCUUUCUUUCUUUCUUUCUUUCUUUCUUUCUUUCUUCUUUUCUUUCUUUUUCUUUUUCUUUUUUCUUUUUUUUUUUUUUUUGGAUACAGGGUCUCAUUAGGUACCUCAGGCUGACUUUCAACUCCAGGUCUCAAAUAACCCUCCUGCCUCAGUUUCCCAAGAGGCUGGAAAUAUAAGCAUGCACCAUAGCACUUGGCCUAAGGGCAGCUUUAGAAAAUAAUUUAUGUUGAGUCACGUAUAUACCUGGCUGACUGAGUGUACGUUUGAGCUCUCAGGGUCCAGAAGAGAGCCUCAGCCCCGUGUGAAUCUGGAGUGAACCCAUUAGGAGCUGGUCUGGGGGAGGGGGGAGGGGAAGGCCCUGGGAACUGAACUCCUCUGGUCCUCUGCUAGAGCAGUACAGACCUGCCUCCAGCCCCACAAAGCACUUUUUUUAUGUGGAUCCAUGAGGGAAGGAAAAAAAAAAAGAAGAGAUAAAGAAUGUGACGGUGAAACAGAGGAAAAAAAAAAAACCUAGUGACUGCGGGGGCGGGAGCGGGGGCGGGGGUGAUGCAGUGAGGGGAAAAAGAGAGAAGAAAGGUGUGAGAGGCGGAGGUUGUGGUGGCUGCCCAGCCCUGCUUGGAGGAGGCUGGUGUUUCCAGUCCCUGGGGGCACGUGGAGGCUGGAAGUGGCCUUCCAUCCAUCUCCUUCUCCCAGCGAGAUGCUGACAUCGGUCUCUGGCGCCUUCCCAUCUAUGCGGAGUGUGGAUGUGUGUGUUGCUCAUUCCUCAGGAGCAGCUGGGGACUGAGAUAACUCCCUCCAAGGAAUGUAGAGAAUUUGGGGGUGCUGCGGGAAGAGAAAGAGCUAGUGAGAAGGCCUCUCAGAGCUGUCAGCAGGACCUGGACAGGAUCCAUCUCUGAAGUAGCAGGGCUGGAGGGCUGGAGGAGGAGGGAUGGCAGUCUUAGAGAAAGAUCUCUGGGAUACUUGUAUGUGCUCACGUCUGCAGGGACCCUGCCUCAAAAAGAUAGGAAGUAGGGGCUGGGGAGAUGGCUCAGGAGGUCCUAAAUUCAAAUCCCAGCAACCACGGGGUGGCUCACAACCAUCUGUAAUGGGAUCUGAUGCCCUCUUCUGGCACACAAGUGUACAUGCAGAUAGAGCGCUCAUACAUAAAAUAAGUCAAAAGAAGAAAAAAAAAAGA